AUACGAGGGGUGCAAGCGUUAUUCGGAAUCAUUGGGCGUAAAGGGUGUGUAGGCGGCGUACUAAGUCAACUGUUAAAUCCCCCAGCCUAACUGGGGACCAGCGGUAGAUACUGGUAUGCUAGAGGAUGGAAGAGAGAAGCGGAAUUCUUGGAGUAGCGGUAAAAUGCGUAGAUCUCAAGAGGAACACCGAUGGCGAAGGCAGUUUCUUGGUACAUUUCUGACGCUAAGGCACGAAAGCGUGGGGAGCAAACGGGAUUAGAAACCCUAGUAGUCC
Molecule: ribosomal RNA, 274 nt
Filed under: uncultured bacterium
Lineage: Bacteria
Description: partial 16S ribosomal RNA
Rfam family: Bacterial small subunit ribosomal RNA
Source: RNAcentral